Panicum hallii is the source of this 485-nucleotide long non-coding RNA. RefSeq lists it as uncharacterized. Lineage: Eukaryota; Viridiplantae; Streptophyta; Magnoliopsida; Poales; Poaceae. The record is from RefSeq and is a predicted model, not a curated record. The transcript is spliced from 4 exons.
CCCCCCCCCCCCCCCCGUCCUCGUGCCGCGCCCGCCCCUCGCCCACUCCUCCGAUCCGGAUCUAGAUCUAGCGCAAGGUCGGGCUCGGCCUCGGCCCAGGCUCCCGCCGCGGCGUCGGUGGGCGACGGGCUCUUCGCGGACUACAAGGCCACGACCACUUUCAUCUUCUCCGGCCACGACGUCGCAGGCACGUCCCAGUAGUUAGCUAGCUUUGCGUCAUCCAUUCACUGCAUUGAGGAACGGACUCUGCUGGACUCAUCUGGACUGGUUGUAGAAGGGGUCAAGGGCCACUGCUGAACUCUGAACACAUCCGUCGGUCCAUCCCCUCGAAAAGAGAUGGGCCGUGGGCUUGGCUAAAGCCGCAAGCAAGCCCCCUCCUCUUCGUCGGCGGCCGCUACCUCCCCGCUCCCACAAUCUGCCGCGCCGCCGCUGUCCCGGCCAACUUCCUCCUCCCGAGGCGGCGGUCGCCUCGCGCGGAAUCUUCG